GAUGAACGCUGGCGGCGUGCCUAAUACAUGCAAGUCGAGCGAACAGACGGGGAGCUUGCUCCUCUGACGUUAGCGGCGGACGGGUGAGUAACACGUGGAUAACCUACCUAUAAGACUGGGAUAACUUCGGGAAACCGGAGCUAAUACCGGAUAAUAUAUUGAAUCGCAUGGUUCAAUAGUGAAAGACGGUUUUGCUGUCACUUAUAGAUGGAUCCGGGCGUCAUUAGUUGGUUGGUAAGGUAACGGCUUACCAAGGGAACGAUGCGUAGCCGACGUGAUGGGGUGAUCGGCCACACGGGAACUGAGACACGGUCCAGACUCCUACGGGAGGAAGCAGUAGGGAAUCUUCCGCAAUGGGGGAAAGCCUGACGGAGCAACCCGGCGUGAGUGAUGAAGGUCUUCGGAUCGUAAAACUCUGUUAUUGGGGAAGAACAAAUGUGUAAGUAACUAUGCACGUCUUGACGGUACCUAAUCAGAAAGCCACGGCUAACUACGUG
This 497-nucleotide ribosomal RNA is filed under the name uncultured bacterium. RNAcentral's name for it is "partial 16S ribosomal RNA". It matches the Rfam family "Bacterial small subunit ribosomal RNA", at positions 28 to 507 of the family's 1533-position model. The record is from RNAcentral.